This 440-nucleotide ribosomal RNA is filed under the name Planorbella trivolvis. RNAcentral's name for it is "partial large subunit ribosomal RNA". The stretch from base 1 to 130 matches the Rfam family "Archaeal large subunit ribosomal RNA", at positions 1908 to 2084 of the family's 2987-position model. The record is from RNAcentral. Lineage: Eukaryota; Metazoa; Mollusca; Gastropoda; Planorbidae.
AGUUUAAAGGAAAUAAUUUUAAAUGAAUCCUGCCCAGUGAAUAAUUUUAAAUGGCCGCAGUACCUUGACUGUGCUAAGGUAGCAUAAUCAAUUGGCUUUUAAUUAGAGUCUGGAAUGAAUGGAAGAAUGAAUUAAAGCUGUCUUAAAUUUAUUUUUAUAAAAUUAUUUAUAAGGUGAAAAUACCUUAAUUUUUAGAAAAAAGACGAGAAGACCCUUAGAGUUUUUAAUAUAAAAAUAAUUAAUAAUUUUAAUUUUUUUGUUGGGGCGACAAGUAAACAUUUUAAACUUUACGUUUUUAUAUUACGAUUUUAUUAAAAUAAAUAAAACUACCUUAGGGAUAACAGCAUUAUUUAUUAAUAAGAUUGUGACCUCGAUGUUGGACUAGGAACUUUAUGGCUAGCCGACAAAAAAGAUUUGUUCUGUUCGAACAAUACUAUCCU